This 74-nucleotide transfer RNA is filed under the name Salvia splendens (bonfire salvia). RNAcentral describes it as "tRNA-Met". It matches the Rfam family "tRNA". From Rfam's summary of the family: Transfer RNA (tRNA) molecules are approximately 80 nucleotides in length. Lineage: Eukaryota; Viridiplantae; Streptophyta; Magnoliopsida; Lamiales; Lamiaceae. The record is from RNAcentral.
GGGGUGGUGGCGCAGUUGGCUAGCGGGUAGGUCUCAUAAUCCUGAGGUCGAGAGUUCAAGCCUCUCUCACCCCA